GCUGGGUGUGGUGCACGCCUGUAAUCCCAGCUACUCAGGAGGCUGAGGCAGAAGAAUCGCUUGAACCUGGGAGGCAUAGGUUGCAGUGAGCUGAGAUCGCGCCACUGCACUCCAGCCUAGGUGACAGAGCGAGACUCCGUCUCAA
Molecule: unclassified non-coding RNA, 145 nt
Organism: Pongo abelii (Sumatran orangutan)
Lineage: Eukaryota; Metazoa; Chordata; Mammalia; Primates; Hominidae
Rfam family: Metazoan signal recognition particle RNA
About the family: The signal recognition particle (SRP) is a universally conserved ribonucleoprotein. It is involved in the co-translational targeting of proteins to membranes.
Source: Ensembl